CUCAGGAUGAACGCUAGCGGCAGGCCUAACACAUGCAAGUCGAGGGGUAGAAGGAGCUUGCUCCUUUGAGACCGGCGCACGGGUGCGUAACGCGUAUGCAAUCUACCUUGUACAGGGGAAUAGCCCAGAGAAAUUUGGAUUAAUGCCCCAUAGUAUAUAACCUUCGCAUGUUGGUUAUAUUAAAGUUCCAACGGUAAAAGAUGAGCAUGCGUCCCAUUAGUUAGUUGGUAAGGUAACGGCUUACCAAGACGAUGAUGGGUAGGGGUCCUGAGAGGGAGAUCCCCCACACUGGUACUGAGACACGGACCAGACUCCUACGGGAGGCAGCAGUGAGGAAUAUUGGACAAUGGGCGCAAGCCUGAUCCAGCCAUGCCGCGUGCAGGAAGAAGCAUCUAUGGUGUGUAAACUGCUUUUGUACAGGAAGAAACACUCCCUCGUGAGGGAGCUUGACGGUACUGUAAGAAUAAGGAUCGGCUAACUCCGUG
Molecule: ribosomal RNA, 485 nt
Filed under: uncultured bacterium
Lineage: Bacteria
Description: bacterial SSU rRNA
Rfam family: Bacterial small subunit ribosomal RNA
Source: RNAcentral